This 78-nucleotide transfer RNA is filed under the name archaeon. RNAcentral describes it as "tRNA-Glu". It matches the Rfam family "tRNA". Rfam says of the family: Transfer RNA (tRNA) molecules are approximately 80 nucleotides in length. Their secondary structure includes four short double-helical elements and three loops (D, anti-codon, and T loops). RNAcentral also lists the same sequence under 1 other name. The record is from RNAcentral.
GCCCCGGUCGUCUAGUUGGACAAGGAUCUCGGCCUUUCGAGCCGAGGAUCCCGGGUUCGAAUCCCGGCCGGGGCGCCA